UACGAAGGGGGCUAGCGUUGUUCGGAAUUACUGGGCGUAAAGCGCAUGUAGGCGGCGAUUCAAGUCGGGGGUGAAAUCCUGGAGCUCAACUCCAGAACUGCCUUCGAUACUGCAUUGCUGGAGUAUGGAAGAGGUAGGUGGAACUGCGAGUGUAGAGGUGAAAUUCGUAGAUAUUCGCAAGAACACCAGUGGCGAAGGCGGCCUACUGGUCCAGCACUGACGCUGAGAUGCGAAAGCGUGGGGAGCAAACAGG
RNAcentral lists this ribosomal RNA (253 nucleotides) under uncultured bacterium. Its description in RNAcentral is "partial 16S ribosomal RNA". It matches the Rfam family "Bacterial small subunit ribosomal RNA", at positions 524 to 776 of the family's 1533-position model. The record is from RNAcentral.